RNAcentral lists this ribosomal RNA (447 nucleotides) under uncultured bacterium. Its description in RNAcentral is "partial 16S ribosomal RNA". It matches the Rfam family "Bacterial small subunit ribosomal RNA", at positions 329 to 793 of the family's 1533-position model. The record is from RNAcentral.
GCCCAGACUCCUACGGGAGGCAGCAGUGGGGAAUAUUGCACAAUGGGGGAAACCCUGAUGCAGCGACGCCGCGUGAGCGAUGAAGUAUUUCGGUAUGUAAAGCUCUAUCAGCAGGGAAGAAAAUGACGGUACCUGACUAAGAAGCCCCGGCUAACUACGUGCCAGCAGCCGCGGUAAUACGUAGGGGGCAAGCGUUAUCCGGAUUUACUGGGUGUAAAGGGAGCGUAGACGGCAAUGCAAGCCAGAUGUGAAAGCCCGGGGCUCAACCCCGGGACUGCAUUUGGAACUGUGUAGCUGGAGUGUCGGAGAGGCAGGCGGAAUUCCUAGUGUAGCGGUGAAAUGCGUAGAUAUUAGGAGGAACACCAGUGGCGAAGGCGGCCUGCUGGACGAUGACUGACGUUGAGGCUCGAAAGCGUGGGGAGCAAACAGGAUUAGAUACCCCAGUAC